CUUUGCCUGCCGCCAUCCACGUUAAGAUGUGACUUGCUCCUCCUCACCUUCCGCCAUGAUUGUGAGGCUUCCCCAGCCGUGCGGAAAUGUCAUAGUUUGUUUGAAAGAGCAAAAAGAACUGCAAGAAGCAUAUUGACAUUGUGUAAAUGAGAGCUGAACAUCAAGGAGUAUACAGUUAAUGAACAAAAGAUCAUUGCUUAGUGUCUAACUGCAGCAUUAAGGCUUGGUAUUGAAUUCACUGAAAAGGUGAUGUGACAGAGGACAAACGGGACAAACAGGACUCUCAGACUACUUAGAUUCCGGAAAUUUCCAGAGCAAAAUCAAAUCAGGAGUUUAAUGGAACCUGCCUCAAGACAGCACUUCACUCUGCAUUACACACUGCCGUAAGUCAUUUAAACAUGGUUCAGUCUACAAACAUUUAUUGACUGCCGUUUGUGUGCCUGUCAUUGUGCUAUAAUGCUAAGAACGUGGAAAAGAUAUUCCAGACCUCAAAGAUAUGCAGAGCUACAAUCCAGUGGCGAACCCAGCCAAGCAAUCAAUCCCAUUUUAUUACCGUUGUAAGGGAAUAUGCUGGACACAGUGGGAGUAACGAGGAAGAAUACACAACCCAAUCUGAAGCGGGGCAGGGAGGGCUUGUCGCAGAGGCUGGCACCUCCACUGUCCUUGGUGGCUAAGAUGAAGUAAGGUAGUCUGAGAAGAUGAAAAGUUUUGUUGUUGUUGUUCAUUUGUUCUGAGGUAAUAGCAACCGCAUGAACAGAAAGAUGACAGGCCUACAACACACUCCAUACAGCUGGCGCAGAAUUUGGUGAUUUCCAUUAAUCAAGGCAACAGAUGCUUAUUUUAAUAAUUUAGUAGUUUCUAUAAGUCUGUCUAUAUUCUUCAUUUCUAUAUGUAUAAGUUUAUAAAGCAAAAAACACUACCAACAUCAAUUGAUGUUAAUAUUUCUGUGUAUUUCUGUUCAUUGUUUUUUCAAAGUAGCUACAUAAAUUUUAUUAAAUUGGAGUCAUCGAAUAUGUAGUUUGAUACCCGGUUUUCAACUUAAUAUUGCAAACAUUUUCACAUGCCAUUAAAUAUUUUAAGUUAUCUUUAAAAAUUGUUUAUUAGCAACUGCAAAAUAUGCCAUCAUCAAAAUGUACCAAAGUAUAUUUAAUCGUGACCUUUGUUUUGGCAUUUAGUGAUUUAUAGUUUUUUAAGAACUAUGAAAAAUUAAUAUACACACAUAUAAUAUCUGUGAUUAUCUUUUAGCAUAGAUUUUGAGAACUAGGAUUAUGGGGGAAAGAAUACAUUUUUAGAGAUUUUCGUAUGCAUUUUCAAACUGCUUUCCAGGAAGAAUACAUUCUUACCAAUAGUAUAUGAGAGGUUUCAUUGUCUAAGUAUCUCUUAUCAUACCUAUAUCUUUAUUAGCUGGAUAACUAACUGUUUUAUCUUGGUCUAACUUUGCAUUUUGAAUAUCAAAAUAAACAUGAAGGUUUUUGUUCACAUUAUAUGUAGUAGUAAUUCUUAUUAAGCCACUCUGACAGCAUGAGCUCAUGGUUAACAUUAAAACUUAGAAAGAAAAAAUCUGAUACUUAAAACUGUGUUUUUUAAAAUGAGAGAACUUUAAAAGGAUAGCUUUUCUCAGUAACGGAUUUUUUAAAUCACUCCUUAUCAAAUGACUGGCGAUGUGCUCUAUUACUAUUAAUAAAGAAAUAUAUAGCAG
Pan troglodytes (chimpanzee) is the source of this 1699-nucleotide long non-coding RNA. RefSeq lists it as uncharacterized. The transcript is spliced from 3 exons. NCBI's taxonomy places the organism in Eukaryota, Metazoa, Chordata, Mammalia, Primates, Hominidae. The record is from RefSeq and is a predicted model, not a curated record.